ACGCUGGCGGCAGGCUUAACACAUGCAAGUCGAACGGUAGCAGGAGGAAGCUUGCUUUCUUGCUGACGAGUGGCGGACGGGUGAGUAAUGCUUGGGAAUCUGGCUUAUGGAGGGGGAUAACUACGGGAAACUGUAGCUAAUACCGCGUAGUGUCGAGGGACGAAAGUGCGGGACCGCAAGGCCGCAUGCCAUGAGAUGAGCCCAAGUGGGAUUAGGUAGUUGGUGGGGUAAAGGCCUACCAAGCCUGCGAUCUCUAGCUGGUCUGAGAGGAUGGCCAGCCACACUGGAACUGAGACACGGUCCAGACUCCUACGGGAGGCAGCAGUGGGGAAUAUUGCGCAAUGGGGGGAACCCUGACGCAGCCAUGCCGCGUGAAUGAAGAAGGCCUUCGGGUUGUAAAGUUCUUUCGGUAUUGAGGAAGGAGUGUAUGUUAAUAGCAUACAUUAUUGACGUUAAAUACAGAAGAAGCACCGGCUAACUCCGUGCCAGCAGCCGCGGUAAUACGGAGGGUGCGAGCGUUAAUCGGAAUAACUGGGCGUAAAGGGCACGCAGGCGGUUAUUUAAGUGAGGUGUGAAAGCCCCGGGCUUAACCUGGGAAUUGCAUUUCAGACUGGGUAACUAGAGUACUUUAGGGAGGGGUAGAAUUCCACGUGUAGCGGUGAAAUGCGUAGAGAUGUGGAGGAAUACCGAAGGCGAAGGCAGCCCCUUGGGAAUGUACUGACGCUCAUGUGCGAAAGCGUGGGGAGCAAACAGGAUUAGAUACCCUGGUAGUCCACGCUGUAAACGCUGUCGAUUUGGGGAUUGGGCUUAAAGCUUGCUGCCCGUAGCUAACGUGAUAAAUCGACCGCCUGGGGAGUACGGCCGCAA
Molecule: ribosomal RNA, 867 nt
Filed under: uncultured bacterium
Lineage: Bacteria
Description: bacterial SSU rRNA
Rfam family: Bacterial small subunit ribosomal RNA
Source: RNAcentral